AUGUUUGAUUCUUCCCUCCUUUAUCAAAAUAGUUCGCAAGUAAUUGUUGUCUCAUGUGUUACGGUGGCUGAACUUAUUGGCACCGCUCCAAGAAAUCCAUCUAAACAUUUUACAUUUCACCAAAGUGAGUGUAAUGACAACUGUAGCAAACAAUACACCAAAAGGAAAGGAAGGAAAGAGGAAGGCAAAUGUUACAAAAAUUCAAAUCAAACUUAUUUAUAUCUUUCUCCUUACCAACUCAGUUUUAAAACACAUAUUUUAAAGGUGACAAUGAGCGCUAAAGGCUACCCUCGAAAAUUCAUAAAAUAUUGUAAUAUUUGA
Molecule: ribosomal RNA, 321 nt
Filed under: Triticum aestivum (bread wheat)
Lineage: Eukaryota; Viridiplantae; Streptophyta; Magnoliopsida; Poales; Poaceae
Description: partial small subunit ribosomal RNA
Source: RNAcentral